Ipomoea nil (Japanese morning glory) is the source of this 81-nucleotide transfer RNA. It matches the Rfam family "tRNA". From Rfam's summary of the family: Transfer RNA (tRNA) molecules are approximately 80 nucleotides in length. NCBI's taxonomy places the organism in Eukaryota, Viridiplantae, Streptophyta, Magnoliopsida, Solanales, Convolvulaceae. The record is from Rfam.
GUCGCUUUGGCCGAGUGGUUAAGGCGUGUGCCUGCUAAGUACAUGAGUUUCUCCGCGAGAGUUCAAAUUUCUCAGGCGAUG